UACGUAGGAGGCUAACGUUAUCCGGAUUUACUGGGCGUAAAGCGCGUGUAGGCGGUUCGGUAAGUUGGACGUGAAAGCUCCCGGCUCAACUGGGAGAGGUCGUUCAAUACUGUCGGACUUGAGGAUGGUAGAGGGAGGUGGAAUUCCGGGUGUAGUGGUGAAAUGCGCAGAUAUCCGGAGGAACACCAGUGGCGAAAGCGGCCUCCUGGACCAUUCCUGACGCUCAGACGCGAAAGCUAGGGUAGCGAACGGGAUUAGAGACCCCGGUAGUCCUAGCUGUAAACGAUGUGAACUUGGCGUCGGUGGGAUUAAAUCCAUCGGUGUCGAAGCUAACGCGAUAAGUUCACCGCCUGAGGACUACGGCCGCAAGGUUAAA
This 376-nucleotide ribosomal RNA is filed under the name uncultured bacterium. Its description in RNAcentral is "bacterial SSU rRNA". It matches the Rfam family "Bacterial small subunit ribosomal RNA", at positions 524 to 898 of the family's 1533-position model. The record is from RNAcentral.